GACGAACGCUGGCGGCGUGCUUAACACAUGCAAGUCGAACGGAAAGGCCCUGCUUUUGUGGGGUGCUCGAUUGGCGAACGGGUGAGUAACACGUGAGUAACCUGCCCUUGACUUUGGGAUAACUUCAGGAAACUGGGGCUAAUACCGGAUAGGAGCUCCUGCUGCAUGGUGGGGGUUGGAAAGUUUCGGCGGUUGGGGAUGGACUCGCGGCUUAUCAGCUUGUUGGUGGGGUAGGGGCUUACCAAGGCUUUGACGGGUAGCCGGCCUGAGAGGGUGACCGGCCACAUUGGGACUGAGAUACGGCCCAGACUCCUACGGGAGGCAGCAGUGGGGAAUAUUGCACAAUGGGCGGAAGCCUGAUGCAGCAACGCCGCGUGCGGGAUGACGGCCUUCGGGUUGUAAACCGCUUUCGCCUGUGACGAAGCGUGAGUGACGGUAAUGGGUAAAGAAGCACCGGCUAACUACGUG
Molecule: ribosomal RNA, 468 nt
Filed under: uncultured bacterium
Lineage: Bacteria
Description: partial 16S ribosomal RNA
Rfam family: Bacterial small subunit ribosomal RNA
Source: RNAcentral